RNAcentral lists this transfer RNA (74 nucleotides) under Marine Group III euryarchaeote CG-Bathy1. RNAcentral describes it as "tRNA-His". It matches the Rfam family "tRNA". Rfam says of the family: Transfer RNA (tRNA) molecules are approximately 80 nucleotides in length. Their secondary structure includes four short double-helical elements and three loops (D, anti-codon, and T loops). Lineage: Archaea; Methanobacteriati; Thermoplasmatota; Thermoplasmata; Candidatus Thermoprofundales. The record is from RNAcentral.
GCGAGGCUAGGCUAGUGGUAAACUGGGGGACUGUGGUUCCCUCGUCCCGGGUUCGAAACCCGGGCCUCGCCCCA